Molecule: long non-coding RNA, 956 nt
Organism: Mercenaria mercenaria
Lineage: Eukaryota; Metazoa; Mollusca; Bivalvia; Venerida; Veneridae
Exons: 5
Source: RefSeq, a predicted model, not a curated record
AGCUAUAUGUGAGAUCUGAUGAACAAGUCAAAAGUUCGGACAUUAGUUUGACGGGUAGAACUAAAAACAGUCAUAAAGAAUAGAAAAUGAUGCAGAAGAAAAGCUGACGACGGCCUGAUAGUAGCAUGUUUCACGGAAGCAGAUGGCGUCACCGGUUAUAACCAGUAUCGAGUCAACGACAGAUCGAGUUAGGAAAGGACUAGCAACGCGUACCAAUUCUGACUGAAUGGUGCAAAUACCAGUAACCACAUGUAUUUAUAACGGCGGAGCCUGAUCCAACUGCAGCCAGUACUGAACUAUGCCUUCAAAAUUAGAUUGAUAGAUAAAAGGUCUAGUGAAGAUAAAAUACUCGCACGUGCCGAGGAGAGCAUAACUCGAUGCUCGUGUUCUUGGUCUCGAAGCGACCGCGUGUGUUAUGAUGAUGGUAGCUUUAGCGAUGACUAUAUUUGGGAUCUGGUUAGAAUGUCAGAAUCAUGAGGAUGGCGAUGAGGAGGAAAGCGAAUUCGCUAACCUUGUAGUGGUCUGCGGCCUAAUAUUUGCAGGCGCAGGAAUCCUUAGUUUCGUUGGAUGUAUGAUUAUAGUGAGCAACUUCUCAGCAUCACAGCUAGGAUGGUCAUUUUACCUGUGCCUCGUUUCUGGAAGUUUCAUUAUUCUAUUGAUAGUUCUACUUUUGAUAUAUGUUUUAAAAGAAGUUGUAGAAUGCAUAUAUUACAGAUAAGAAGAUAUCAAGAAAGUUUUUGAAAUACGAUGUCACGUUUAAAUGAUAAGUUAUACAUGUUUCUGUGUACUCAUAUGUUGCAUUGAUGAAAUGAUGUCUUGUUCUGUUCUGUUCUCUUCCGUUCUGUUCUAACUGGUCACAGGAAUGUAUGUUUGAACCCCAUUCAAAGAUAUGAAUUGUUCUCUUGAUGUAUUGUUUUUUUGCUUAAUUAAAGAAAUGAAUUAAUUCAUUGAAAGUG